This 775-nucleotide ribosomal RNA is filed under the name uncultured Neocallimastigales. Its description in RNAcentral is "partial large subunit ribosomal RNA". It matches the Rfam family "Eukaryotic large subunit ribosomal RNA", at positions 24 to 644 of the family's 3401-position model. The record is from RNAcentral. Lineage: Eukaryota; Fungi; Neocallimastigomycota; Neocallimastigomycetes; Neocallimastigales.
UAUGUGAUCGUCUCUCGCAUAUCAAUAAGCGGAGGAAAAGAAACUAACAAGGAUUCCCCUAGUAACGGCGAGUGAAGCGGGAAGAGCUCAAAUUUGAAAUCUUAAAGGGUUUCCCUUUACGAAUUGUAGUUUAAAGAAGUGUUUUCUGUCGAGGUUUUGGUAAAAGUUCUUUGGAAUAGGACAUCAUAGAGGGUGAGAAUCCCGUAUUUGACCUUUACUUUCAACUUUGUGAUACACUUUCAAAGAGUCGGAUUGUUUGGGAAUGCAGGUCCAAAAUGGGUGGUAAAUUUCAUCUAAAGCUAAAUAUUGGCGAGAGACCGAUAGCGAACAAGUACCGUGAGGGAAAGAUGAAAAGAACUUUGAAAAGAGAGUUAAACAGUACGUGAAAUUGUCGAAAGGGAAGCGUUUGACACCAGUGUUGUUUUUCUGAAAAUCAAUUAAAGAACUGUUUAUGCUAAGCUGUUUAGACUUUAUCAGCUAUCUGUUUAGUUUUGAGCUUUUCUUUAAUGCACUUUUCAGUUAACAAGUCAACAUCAAUUUCUUUUGCUGUAAAAAAGCUUGAGGAAGGUGGCUUGAGAUUCGUCUUAAGUGUUUAUAGCCUCUUGCCUAUGCAGUCGGAGAGAUUGAGGUCUGCAGCGUAGAUCCUUCGGGGCUAAAUGCAUUUGUGCUAAGUUAUAGCAUUUCAUAGACAACUUGUUGACUAUGAUUUGUCUUGUAGCUUACUCGCUUAUGUUAUUUUACCUACGCUUAGGAUGUUGAAUCUGUGCGAGACUAC